AUUGAACGCUGGCGGCAUGCUUUUACACAUGCAAGUCGAACGGCAGCACGGGUGCUUGCACCUGGUGGCGAGUGGCGGACGGGUGAGUAAUGCAUCGGAACGUGUCCUGAAGUGGGGGAUAACGCAUCGAAAGAUGUGCUAAUACCGCAUAAUCUCUGAGGAGGAAAGUAGGGGAUCGAAAGACCUUAUGCUUUUGGAGCGGCCGAUGUCUGAUUAGCUAGUUGGUAGGGUAAUGGCUUACCAAGGCGACGAUCAGUAGUUGGUCUGAGAGGAUGAUCAAGCCACACUGGGACUGAGACACGGCCC
Molecule: ribosomal RNA, 306 nt
Filed under: uncultured bacterium
Lineage: Bacteria
Description: bacterial SSU rRNA
Rfam family: Bacterial small subunit ribosomal RNA
Source: RNAcentral